UGUGUGACUCCUUUUUGUUUUGUAUAGGUUUUCAGUUUUUAAUUACAGAAGUAUAAAAAAGUACAAUCAUUGGUAUAAAUGUGCAACUUGCAACCAGAAUUAAUUUGCAUACAUUAAAUCAAUGGUACUGCACGACGCAGGAAACAUAAUGGGGGCGAUACAGACCAAGACUGGGCAUGAUGACGGUGUUGGCAGAGAGUAGGGGUGGAUCACAAAAGCAAUGCACCUGACAGCUGACUGAGGAGCGCAUGCGCCCUGCCUUCCGCUUAAGUCGCUUUUCCAAUUAGUAAUUUGUUGAACUCAACAAAGUAGUCUGAAAAAUGUGACUUAAGGAUUUGCCCUUUACAUAUCACAUUACAAGGGAUGGCAUACUCAAGUCCCUCCAGGGACAGUCAGUGUAGAUCAAACUCUGACAGAAGAAUUGUCAUAGUAUCUUUGAUAUCGCAAACAAUCGCAAACAAUUUCUGACUGAAGCUUUCACUUUGCGGACCAGAAGGGCUCCUGACUCUGUGAAUGCUGAAAAACAGGCUUGGAUCGAAGAGUACUCUUACAGCGAGGCAUCCCUCUCCUGGAGUUCUUACUCACACCCUUAAUCCCAAAUGGCACACUAUUCCCUAAAUAGUUCAGAAUUUUGUACCAGAGCCGUGGAAAAGAAGGGUAUUUGGGAUGCAUACGGGUGUCUUAGCUGUUCCAAUCUCUCUGACAGGCUUAUUUAAAAAGCCAUUGUCUCAAGUCUGAAACAACAAAUGUAUCUAUUCACUGUUUGGGUAACCCUGUCAACUUAAAGCCUGUAGUUAUAAAGUGUAAUAGUAUCUACUUACUAUAUGCUUUAUAAUGUCUGAUAAUUGAUAAAAUGUGAUGUUCUUCAAGUACACUUUGUUCUGGCACAACCAACAUAAACAGAGGCUGAGAAAAGCAGAGUAGAUAACAGUUAUACUAAUACACAUUUAGCCUGGCAAUAAAAUACAAUGUCUCUGUUUUUCAUGAUUGAGUGAGCCGAAACAAGAUAUACGAUGACCAUAUAACCUGAGUGACUGAAUGAUUACGGGACAAUUACUCUUCUUGACCAUUAAGCGUGGGUCCACCCUUGCUUUUUUUGUGAAAUAACUAAGUCAACAAAGCUGUUGGUGCCUCUCAGUCUUAACGUAGUGUCUUGUGACAGAACUUAAUUCAGUCCAAAUUUAACUGGAGCCGUUUAUAAUGCCUCUCAAAAGCAUUCACCCCCUGGACUUUACCCACAUUUUAUUGUGUUACAGCAUGAAAUCAAAACGAAUGUAGUUAGGAGUUUUUGCCACUGAUCAACAUGAACAAAGUCCUUUAAGUCAAAGUAUAAUCACACGACUAAAGACAAUUGGUAGUCACAAGUAGGGGGUUAAUACUUAUGGAAACAGUUCAUUUUAUAUUUGUAAUUAAUUUAGAACAAUUUGCUUAUUUUAUUUUUCGCUUAGACAUUAGGAACUUUGUGUUGAUCAGUGGCAAAAACUGCUGAUGAAAUCCAUUUUAAUUUCAUGUUGUAACACAAAAUGCGGAAGCGUCCAAGGGGGUGAAUACUUUUUAAAGCCACCAUAAAGAUAUUACAGGCAUGUUUUCCCAAAAUGUCACUGAUGUUGGAGAAUUCUUGGAAUUAGAAGGAUAUUAGCACUGUGUCUGGAAUCCUCUAACCAAUAUUUCUGGAGAACCAGGGAGUUUCUUGAAAAUGCCCUAAAAGUAGCAACCAUAGAUAGGGUAAUACUGUAGGAACAUGUAAAAUGUUGUUACUGUCUCAGUAUUUAUUUCAGCUAAAAAACCUAGUUAGUCCCCCUGAGAGAAGCUAACUAAAAGCAUUAAUAGACUAAUUCACAAGAAGUCAGCCACCCAGUUAAUUUAUGUCUAUAUCUGUUGAAAAAUAAUGUAAUGAUUACAGUUUUUAAUUAUCACUGCUGUGUGGCCAAUAUGCAUAUGCCUUUGAAAAGCAUGGAAGAUAUGCACCGGCUGUAUCUUUAAAUCAUUACAAAUUCCAGUACUUUUGACCAGAGCCCUAUUACAGGCCCUAUAGUCCCGAUUACUGGCCUGUUUAGAAGUCCCUAUAGGCCCCAAUACAGGCCUUGUUAGAAGUCCCUAUAGGCCCCAUUACUGGCCCUUUAUAAUAUAGGAUGCAUACUCUUAUACGAUCCAACGGUUUUGUUAACAUGCCCUGUGCCAAGGACUUUUCCAUUACACUGUGAUGAUCUGUGAUCCUCCCCUAUUAUGGUCUUAUGGAGAUUAUGUUACACUUUGAUCCACCCCUUUUAUAUCAUGAUCCUCUGGGCAUUACAUUACCCUGAGAUCCACCCCAUUACAAUCCUCUAUAUAUAACAUUUCACUGUGAUCCUGCCCAAUCAUCCACUCUGGAUAUUACAUGACACAGUGAUCCACCAAUUAUUAUCCCCUGGAUAUUACAUGACACAGUGAUCCACCAAUUAUUAACCUCUGGAUAUUACAAUACACUGGGAUCCUCCCCUGUUGUUAAAAUACUCUGGAUAUUACAUUACGAUGUGAUCCACCCCUGUUAUGUUAUGGCAAUUCCAGUGAUAUAACACAGAAGUGAUAUUACAGAACAGUAUGUACAAACAAUGUCAUUUUAAGAACUGUGGCAUAUAUUAAUAAUAAUUGAUAUAAUUUAUAUGAUAAAUAUCUCUAACAUGUUUGGCUUCCAUAUUGCUGUAUGUAGAAUAGACGAUAACAUGACAAUAAAUCAAUUCCAUUAAAGUAUUGAUGGAAACUGUGAUUGAUAGAUAGAUACAUCACCUUUCAGUAAGAAGCACUGCUGUUGCUGUUGACAACCAAUACGGUCACCUUCCUAAUGAAGCCCUACCCCCUAGAUAGUGCACUACAUUUGACCAGAUUCUUAUGUGCUCAAAAUCAUGCUAAACAUGAAACAGGGUGCCAUUUUGGGCACAACCUACAUUUUCCCAUACAGACCUCCCGUCUUCUUUCAGAAGAUACAGAGGGCAUCAGGACAGAUAGAUCCAUUGACAUCAAUGGAGAUUCAUUUUGCAAAAUGCAAAAGGAUUGUAUUAUACAAUAUACAAGCUAUACAUAUCUUUUUUUUUUUGGUGAGGUGAUAUUAUUUUUUAUAAUUAUUCAAGGACAAAGAUAAGGCAAUUGAAUACAAGCCAUGCAUGCACUUGUGGGUAAACCUUAUUGUAAAUAUAUAUGCAUUUAGAUAUCUAAUGUUGUAAAGCUUGAUGCAUUGUCACUUUUGCUUGUGUAAAAUGCAUUUCAUUAUAGGCUUUUGUUUCUAAUUCUAAACUAGGGACUUUUGCAAGACGAUUUGAGUGAUGCAUUUCAUUUCAAUAACUAUCAAUAAAUGUCUUUCUGCAAAACAUGCACACAGACAUACACACACAAACACACACACACUCACACUUGCACACAUGCACACAAACAUGCGUACAUACACACGCGCGCACAAAAAGAGUAUCAGUGAUACGGAUGUGUCCAGCAGUACUGUACCUAGGCUCCGCCCCUCUUUUUCCACAGGGAAUUGUAGAAUUAAUUUAGUAAACUUAUAGAUGGGGUAAAGCCGUCAAUGGAACGGUGGCUGUCAUAGGCACCCAGUCAACUCUGACUAAGUUAAUAUUAGUCAAAUCCUUAAUGAUUGAUUUAUUAUAAAAAAAGGCCAACAAUGUAAUUACCUAAGUUCGAUUUCAAUGCUAAGAAAUGGUCUGUUUGCUCACAGCAACAUGCCAUUCAUAUAUGCUGGCAGAAUAGUACCUAGCAUAAAGAAAUCAGUGUGUGUAAUAAUUUUCAGCUGUUAUGGAGUUUAGUGUUGAUGAUAACAUGAACAUAUAUAAUUGUUGUCCAUGCAAGUAUCAUGGUAAAAUUUUUACCUUUUUAAAGUGUGAAAUGCACACACAAAUAUUAACCAAAUUGUGUGCUAAUUUGCCCCAAUGGGUUCUUUCCACUAUGCGUUGUCAUGACAUUUCAGUGGCUUGGGUGGAUUUCCACUACCUCUUUACCACAUUAGACAGUACAGAUAGGUGACAAUUUAAAGUAAAAACGUUUGUAAUGGGGGGUUUAUGCACAGCAACCCUACGAUAAUAUCUCUGUCCAUGUCAUUUUAAAUGAGCUGUUCUUGCUGAUCAGUCUGAUCACGACCCGCAACCUAGGAUCGAGUUACUAUUCUGGAUUUCCUUACAUAUUGCAGUAAUGCACAAAGAUCAUGGUAAUUGAAUGUGUUUUCAACCACCAUGUCUGUCCCAUAGAUUUCCUCUUGCCAUCUUGAACCAAAAUCAAGGUCAACUGGGCCUGCUGAACAUUUUUACAAGUUCCACAGAACAGGAUGUUAAUUGCUAAAUUGUACCAUCCGGUACACCUGUAUGGAAGCAUCUGCAUUCAUUUUGUUCCUCCACUCAUUUAUUCAGAUUUUUUUUUUUUUACAUUUUAGUCAUUCAGCAGACACUUUCAUCAAAAGUGACUUACAGUAAGUACAGGGAACUUUUUCCCCAGAGCAACAUAGGGUAAGGAUCCUUGGGACAUAAUGACAAUUGGCCCAGUCGGGAUUCAGCCCGGCUACCUUCCCAUUACAAGCCUGACUCCCUAACCGCUGAGCCAGGGACGCCCCCAUCUGUCACCCAUCUGUAUACAAUCUACAGAACCUAAACAACCUAUAGAAUGUACAGUUCAUAGGCUGAAAAACCUCUAUCACGUGGGCCUUUAGGAAUCUACUGGUAUGGGUUGUUUUUGAAAAGACUCACGUGGAUACAUUUACUCGUUGCUACAAUAUGCUGAUAUGCCUAUUGGCUGAGACAUAUACAUUUAGGUGUUUCAUUCGCUAUGUGUUAUAUCCUGUUGUGUGACAGAAUCCGGCGGUAUUAAAUCGCUAGAGUCCAUACGCCAUAUACAUUUUAUUGUCCGCAAAAUGAAUAUACAACCCAUAGACUUGAAAGUCUUUGGACCGGUCUUUGUCAUGGAAAUAUACACCGCCUUAUAGAAGCGGUCCAUGCUCACCGCAUUUGCCAUUCAGUGUACCUGGUGCAAUCAGUAGACCGGCUCAGCGUGAGAUGGCCAUGGGGACCUGGUUCAUCAAAAUAACGAUAUGCAGUCAUCCGGAGAUUUUGUGUCAGUAUUGCGAUGGAUCUAUGACUAACAGCAAGAUGCACACAUUCAUCACAUUUUCUUUACAGGAAGGUAUGCUAACUGUGCCAUUCGCCGCUUCUGUCACAGGUUGUGUUACAGCUAUAGAAAAAUAGAUUUAAAAGAGUAAUCUCCGUUUAAUAUACACUAUCUGAUAUGGCUUUACCAUAAUGGCAUGCAAAUAACUAUAAACAGGCCUGAAGUCUCAACUACCUGAGGUUAAGUUCUCUACUUGCAGGGAUUUGGGCAGAGCAAUGGAAACAUUCCAACCUAUAGAUACUCCGUCUAGGUCCCUACAGACCAGCAAAUGACACCCUAUUUGCUAUGUAGUGCACAGUUUGGACCACGGCCCUAUGAGCCUGUUCAAAGUAGUGCGCUAAAUAUGGACCUGGGUGAAAACAGGCAACACAAGUAGGUUGCCAUUUGGGAUGUACCUAUGGAGAACUAAGAUAUACUUCCAAUUUCAGGCUUUAUCGCGACGCAUUCUUGUUCAUUUAUGUACAGUUCUGGUGUUAUUAUAUACACAAUGACUGAUAUUAAACAAAAAGGAUUGCAGAAGGUAACAGUGUACUGUGUGCGUGUGCGUGCGUGCAGGUGCGUGUGUGUGCAGGUGCGUGCGCAUGUGUGUGUGUAUGUGCGUGUGUAUGUGUGUGUGUGCGUGUGUGUGCAGGUGCAUGUGUGUGUAUGUACGUGCGUGUGUGUGUGUGUGUGAGAGAGAUGGGUGAUGUGGAGAUCGCAGAGCCCGCUAGCAGUUGCAGGCGUGGGAGGACUAUAUGUGGGGACGUAGACGACGCUAACGACAGUUGCCUGUGAGAGUUAAGCCCUUGGCGGUGUUGUUCUGUUUAGCUGGAUCCAGGAGGUGUCUGUUACCUCUCCCUCUGAUCUGUAUUUCCCUUUCUUGUUCAAUGUCUCUGUAGGCACCGGUGUUUACAUUCUAUUUCUACGCGCCAGUACGAAGUUCUUGUGUAAUUCCGCUCUUUAAAGUACUGUUUAACCACUCCUGCCGACGUGUCUGACUCCUAUCAUUCCCUUUCUGAUAACAGGAGACAAAGAGAGAGUGAGAUAGUUAGGAACAAGGCCAUUGAUUCCCCAGUCUAGAGCAUAACAUCCUCCACACAAACACCCUCUCUAAUAAACCAUAACCUUGUCCCAAAUUCCACAAUAUUCCCUUUCUUGUGCACCCUACAGUAUAUAGUGCCCAUGGGCCCCCCAGUCAAAGGUAGUGCACUAGAUAGGGAAUAGGUUACCAUUUGGGAUGCCGUCCAUGCCUACACAGUUAUACUUAAAUCAGGAGGAAAAAUAACCUCGGGAUGUUAACUGAUGUCUCUCUCUUUCUCUCUACCCCCCCCCCCCCUUGCUCCCUCCCAGACCUGCAAAUCUGAACUGAGGAGAAUCAAUGACAGUCAAGUGUGAGAAUCCUUCUUAAUGAAAGGCUACAAGGCAAACUCGUUUUCCUCUUUAAUGUCAGUAAUCGACUCCCUUCUUCUCCCAAAUCUGCCCCAUUUAACACGUGAAGGACCAGUACAGGAUGUACCUGCUCACCUAGCUUACACCUCGCUUCAGCCAUGAAUCUCUUCUCCAUUAGUACUUUACCAGAAAUCCUUAAUACUUUAUGCUCUCUGUAAUGAUCAAGUGGCGCAUUUGUAGCUUUUUUUCCUGGUCCUGUCUCUUUUCUGCUUCAUAGGCGAUUUUGUGUCUUUGGGAAGGGAGGGAAUAGACAUAUGAGGAGGUGGAUUAUGAGUUAUAGCCUGAAGACACAUAAAGUCAAAGGCUUUUUGCCCUGAAAUAUGUUAUGAGCUGAUAAGAACCCUAGUUGCUCUACACAGAGGGACUCAGCUAUUCUCUCCCUUUCCCUUUCUCUCUCCCUCUUUCUUUUCCUCUCUGCUCUGUCUCUCUGAUUCUUUCUCCCUCUUGCAAUGGGAAAUUACUGUUUGAAGUCCUGCAGUCAGGCCCAGCGCAGUACCUGGGGCUGACUGACCUGGCUACCAUAACAGAGCUGGGUCCGUAGGGAACAUCAAGCGGUACAGGAGUAGCGUGAACCACGUACAGCAGCACCAGGCCAAGUGCACCAGGCACUCUGAAGUCAUUCCCUACAACUCCCACUCGUCUGAAACCCCUCAACAUUGGCAGAUCUAUCUAAAGAUGGUAAACAUCAGUGUGUUAGUGCCAAGGGGACCAGCUUAGCCUGUCUCGUCUUCCCCGCAACAAACACUCCACUGAACCCAAAGGGCAGCUGAUGCUGCAUGGAUGUUAGUCACAAGCAUUCAUUCUAGUCUAAAAAUGUAGUACAGAGUGUAAAGGGCAUUAUUUUGGCCAUGAGAUUUGUGAAAGCUGCGGUGUUAUUAGAGCCAUUGGAUAUUUGUCAGAGCCUACUGAUAGUAAGAGAAAUCCUAUGGCAUAACCUACAGACAGUAAGACAAACAUUAAGCAGCUCCUCAGACUGGUUUACUGAAGACAGAACAUUGUCAAUGUUAUGUUAUAAGAAUUCCUGGCCCCUAACCUCUUCAUCGAGUGGCCCUUUGCUAAUGUGUUUAGUGAUUACUUGCCAGUGUUUUAGGAAAAUUAGAAUUGAGGCAAUGCACUAUUUUCAAAAAAUCAAAACCCAUUUGCGAGCCAAUUGUGUCUCACCGCAACCUGGUGUUAGAUGGUUUCUCAUCUUGAAAGUAGUCUAUGAGUGAAGAGAAUUUGUAGUCCAUGGUUUAAACUGUUUUGGAUACGCAGUUAUGAUGUCCUACAAACAUUAGCUGGGGAUAACUAGAAUCAAUGGAAUCAAUGGAUGUUUGUUUUUAAUCUCAAAAUCAGUAAAAUGAACUUAUUUGGUUUGAUGUGACUAAAAGAG
Molecule: long non-coding RNA, 7936 nt
Organism: Esox lucius (northern pike)
Lineage: Eukaryota; Metazoa; Chordata; Actinopteri; Esociformes; Esocidae
Source: Ensembl